AGAUACCAGGGCAGGCAAAUUGUCAUCGACCUGGAGCUUUGGAGCCUCCUGGAAGAGCAUGGACUCAGUGUAAUAGAAGAGGCCAGAGAAGGCGAGGCUGGAGCCCAGACACAGCAGCUCCCCAGGAGUAAUGGGUUUGUCCAUGGUGCCAGGCUUGGGCGACAACGCCUGCAAGGCAGAACUGCGAGUUCCAGCAGCCUUUGCGAGCGC
This is a long non-coding RNA of Serinus canaria (Common canary), 210 nucleotides long. RefSeq lists it as uncharacterized. The transcript has 3 exons. Lineage: Eukaryota; Metazoa; Chordata; Aves; Passeriformes; Fringillidae. The record is from RefSeq and is a predicted model, not a curated record.